GGAGGGUGCAAGCGUUGUUCGGAAUUACUGGGCGUAAAGCGCGUGUAGGCGGCUUGGUAAGUCGAGUGUGAAAUCCCAGGGCUCAACCCUGGAACUGCACCCGAAACUGCCUCGCUGGAGUCCCGGAGAGGGUGGCGGAAUUUCCGGUGUAGAGGUGUAAUUCGUAGAUAUCGGAAGGAACACCAGUGGCGAAGGCGGCCACCUGGACGGUGACUGACGCUGAGACGCGAAAGCGUGGGGAGCAAACAGGAUUAGAUACCCUGGUAGUCCACGCCGUAAACGUUGAGUGCUAGGCGUCGGGGGUAUUGACCCCCCUCCGGUGCCGGAGUUAACGCAUUAAGCACUCCGCCUGUGGAGUACGGCCGCAAGGCUA
Molecule: ribosomal RNA, 373 nt
Filed under: uncultured organism
Description: partial 16S ribosomal RNA
Rfam family: Bacterial small subunit ribosomal RNA
Source: RNAcentral